This 273-nucleotide ribosomal RNA is filed under the name uncultured bacterium. RNAcentral describes it as "partial 16S ribosomal RNA". It matches the Rfam family "Bacterial small subunit ribosomal RNA", at positions 524 to 796 of the family's 1533-position model. The record is from RNAcentral.
AACGUAGGACGCAAGCGUUAUCCGGAAUUACUGGGCGUAAAGCGCGCGCAGGCGGGUCAACAAGUCAUGCGUGAAAGCUCCUGGCUAAACUGGGAGAGGUCGGAUGAAACUGUUGGUCUUGAGUGUGGCAGAGGCGUGUGGAAUUCCGCGUGUAGUGGUGAAAUGCGUAGAGAUGCGGAGGAACACCAGAGGCGAAGGCGGCACGCUGGGCCACAACUGACGCUGAGGCGCGAAAGCAUGGGUAGCGAACGGGAUUAGAAACCCCCGUAGUCC